CGGGAGGCAGCAGUUAGGAAUCUUCGGCAAUGGGGGAAACCCUGACCGAGCGACACUGCUUGGAGGAUGAAGGUUUUCGGAUCGUAAACUCCUGAACGAGGGACGAAUAAUGACGGUACCUCGCUAAUAGCACCGGCUAACUCCGUGCCAGCAGCCGCGGUAAUACGGAGGGUGCAAGCGUUAUCCGGAAUCACUGGGCGUAAAGGGCGCGUAGGCGGUUUGUUAAGUCCGAUGUUAAAGACCGAGGCUCAACCUCGAUACGGCGUUGGAUACUGGCAAGCUGGACGGUUGGAGAGGAAGGUAGAAUUACCAGUGUAGCGGUGGAAUGCGUAGAUACUGGUAGGAAUACCCAUUGCGAAGGCAGCCUUCUGGACAACACGUGACGCUGAGGCGCGAAAGUGUGGGGAGCAAACCGGAUUAGAUACCCGGGUAGUCCACACCCUAAAC
Molecule: ribosomal RNA, 447 nt
Filed under: uncultured bacterium
Lineage: Bacteria
Description: bacterial SSU rRNA
Rfam family: Bacterial small subunit ribosomal RNA
Source: RNAcentral